GACGAACGCUGGCGGCGUGCUUAACACAUGCAAGUCGAACGGAAAGGCCCUGCUUUUGUGGGGUGCUCGAGUGGCGAACGGGUGAGUAACACGUGAGUAACCUGCCCUUGACUUUGGGAUAACUUCAGGAAACUGGGGCUAAUACCGGAUAGGAGCUCCUGCUGCAUGGUGGGGGUUGGAAAGUUUCGGCGGUUGUGGAUGGACUCGCGGCUUAUCAGCUUGUUGGUUGGGUAGUGGCUUACCAACGCUGUGACGGGUAGCCGGCCUGAGAGGGUGACCGGCGACAUUGGGACUGAGGGACGGAGCAGACGGCAACGGUAGGCAGCGGUGGGGAGCAUGGCACAGUGAGAGGAAGCCGGAUGCAGAGACGCCGCGGGCGGGAUGACGGCUUGCGGGGUGAGAACAGCAUUCGGCUGUGACGCAGCGGGAGUGACGGUACUGGGUAAAGAAGCACCGGCUAACUACGUG
RNAcentral lists this ribosomal RNA (468 nucleotides) under uncultured bacterium. RNAcentral describes it as "partial 16S ribosomal RNA". It matches the Rfam family "Bacterial small subunit ribosomal RNA", at positions 28 to 507 of the family's 1533-position model. The record is from RNAcentral.